GACGAACGCUGGCGGCGUGCUUAACACAUGCAAGUCGAACGGAAAGACCCUGCUUUUGUGGGGUGCUCGAGUGGCGAACGGGUGAGUAACACGUGAGUAACCUGCCCUUGACUUUGGGAUAACUUCAGGAAACUGGGGCUAAUACCGGAUAGGAGCUCCUGCUGCAUGGUGGGGGUUGGAAAGUUUCGGCGGUUGGGGAUGGACUCGCGGCUUAUCAGCUUGUUGGUGGGGUAGUGGCUUACCAAGGCUUUGACGGGUAGCCGGCCUGAGAGGGUGACCGGCCACAUUGGGACUGAGAUACGGCCCAGACUCCUACGGGAGGCAGCAGUGGGGAAUAUUGCACAAUGGGCGGAAGCCUGAUGCAGCAACGCCGCGUGCGGGAUGACGGCCUUCGGGUUGUAAGCCGCUUUCGCCUGUGACGAAGCGUGAGUGACGGUAAUGGGUAAAGAAGCACCGGCUAACUACGUG
RNAcentral lists this ribosomal RNA (468 nucleotides) under uncultured bacterium. RNAcentral describes it as "partial 16S ribosomal RNA". It matches the Rfam family "Bacterial small subunit ribosomal RNA", at positions 28 to 507 of the family's 1533-position model. The record is from RNAcentral.